UAACUAGCUUAGCUAGUUUGUCAGUAACAGAAAAUUGAAAAUGUUUUCCUAUUGAAAGAGUCAGUUUUGUCUUUAGACAUUAGUGGAGCUCUUCAACUUGCUGAAGACUGCAAACCAUUCAACGUAAGUUUAGGGGUAGUGAUAGGCUAGCCAUCGAGAGCUUUCAAUGAGCUGUCAGUGUAGCUACUGGGAUUGAGUCAUGUGGUCCAGAGGGGGUAACCCAGGCAACCCUGUAUCCACGGGAAUGUGGUGACGUGAGAAGCAGACCUUCAUAGAUGACAGGAAGCUCUUAUGAUAAAUAACUGAUGGUUAUAUCUGUCCAAUUUGAUUUAGCUAUAUAUUAUAAAGUCAACUAAUAUCACCCAAAUUCAUAUUCCCUUCAGAUCCCUAGCAGAGUGAGGCUGUGUAUCGGUUCUGUAUCAGUGUGAACCCUUCGGACCUAAUGGAACUGGAGUUUACACACCUCCCUCCGUUCCGAGUACACCCUGGAUCUCUGAGUUUCCCCGUGGUUCCAUGUGCUGGGAGAUGAGCUGUGUAACUCCAUGAGGAUUGGACGUCUGUACAGGGUGCUGGGCAUACCGGCCCAUGUCAACCAGUGGCUGAAGGUCACCUGGAGCGUGGAGGCCAAUAGCGUUCCACAGUGGGAGCCUGAGUGUAAGGACCUAUAUGCAUGCUUACAGUGGUACGUCAGUUUACAUUCAAUCCUAUUCCUAAUCUAUAGGCCUUGUUUUCAGCUUCUCUGAGAAAGCCAUUCAUAGGGAACAUUCAUGUGCUUGUCUGUGUAUUACCUCUGUCACAUGCCUAUACUAUACGAGGCGGCUAGGGAGGAGCUAUAGGAGGACGGGCUCCUUGUAAUGGCUGGAAUGGAAUUAAUGGAAUGGAAUCGAACGCAGUUUCCAUGUUUUAUGUCUUUGAUACUGUUCCAUUUAUUCCAUUCCAGCCAUUACAAGGAGCCAGUCCUCCUAUAGCUCCUCCCACCAGCCUCUGCUGUACUAUACAAUAUUUGCAUUGACAACAAGUCACACUUCAGUAGUAAGAUACCCUGGCACCAUCAGCUGUAACUUCCAGGCCCUGUUGACGGCCACAGCCUGUUCUCCCUGGAGGUUCUCUACCAUCGCGGCUAACUCGUUUGGCUCUGCUGUGGUUCCUCCAGGCCUGUACCGCAGCCUGAAACUGGGCCUGCUGCUCAGCCUGGUCCAGGGCAGGGAGGACAACCCAGACUCACUGCACUACCUGGACCUGCUAGCCCUGACGUCUGACACAUUCAAACUGGACAAGUACUACAGCUCAUCAUUCAGUCAGUCAAUCAAUCAAUCAACUAAGUUCUUAGGAAACGCAGUAUCAUCACUCAUUGACGAAAUUCCCUGAAAUACAGUAAAAAUGUACUAUGCUUAUAUUGAAGUCAACACCCUCCGUUACCCUGUCUUAAGGCCAAAUCAAACGGAACACGCGUGUACACACUGGAAUUAGAAUGCACGGUAGUUAAUGAUAGAAAACAGAAGGGCACAGAGCAUCACCAUCGUCAAAAGCAGCAUGCGCUUCAAAUUAGAAAGCAAGUCUUUUUCUUGCAUAGCAAUGCUUGUUCGCAUUUUGUUUGAUUUGGCCUUCAGGUUGAUGAAUUACAGCCUGGGUCUGGCUGGCAAUGGGGUGAGACACCCUGAAACAGGGGAGAUGUAUGCCUCGCUGUCUCGGGAUGAGCACGGAGCGGGCACGGCCAACAUCCAUGCGGUAAGGACACGAUGUCAGGUGCUGAGCCCUGCUUACUUUGUAGCCUGGAAGCCAGUCUUAUUCAGCUCUAGCUAAUGUGUUGUCUUGUCAAAGCAAUGAAGAAACAUUAUGGCACCUCCUGUGAUACACAACGUGUAGAGUGGAUGCUGACAAACAGAUGUCCUUUCCCAUCCAGUUUCAGCACCCUGGCAGUCCACAGCCCCCUCAAACAAGACCCCCAGGACUGACAGUGUAGUGCUGGGAACAGUGGUUGGUCAUUGUUGGCUUUCACUGUGGUGUUCAUUAAUGUUCAAUUUACAUUAUGAUUUCAAAUGUAUUGGACUACAUCGCUUGAUAAAUGUGCCCACGAUGAAUGUCACUAUUGUGUUGUCUGAUGUGGUGAUUCUGCAACAUCGCCAUUCCAAGUGAGCAAUUUGAAGCAUUUUAUCAUGUCCCACAAUGCCAGUAGAACUCAGCACUGGCAAAGACAAUGUAUUCCAGACUGCAGAAAUAUAAAAUCUCUCAGAGCCAACUGUGUAUUUAGGCGUGUGCUUUAUGUAGGCAAAACAGGAAGGGAAGACUAUUUACUCUUUCCAGAGGAAGUUAAUUGCUCCCACAGGCUGCUGCCCAAACAAACCCAGCCCGAGAAUAGACGAUGCCUUCAGGUCCCCUCUACUUUGGCUUCAGCACCAAUUCAGGAUGGACAAGAAACGGUAGUGGUAAAGAUAGUACUGAUGAAUACAGUACUUCAAUGUUAAGGUAGUAGGUCAUAGUACUUUUACACAGGGGGGGGGGGGGGCUGCCCAGUUCUGGUCCAGUUAGGCUACUAUUCUCCUCUGAAGCUCCCUGCCCAGCUGGCUGAAACCUUUGGCCUCGUGAUUCAGUGUCGGGAAAAUACAUAUGCACACUAUUAGAUGCCCCCAAAAUGCUGUGACGGACCACAUUUGGACUUAUCUUUGGUAGUGCUCGGUUGUUUAAACUGGGGGGGGGGGGGGGCAUGGUGCUCUCCUUCCCACAGCUCUUGGCCCACACAGGUGAUCCAGACAGAUCUGAGCCCUGUAGCAGAGAAGAUCCAAGAGUACCAAUGUGGUAGCAGGCGUUCUCGUGUAACAGUUGGGAUAAUGGGACAAUUCGGAGUACAAUGCAUUUCUCAUCCCUGGAUUGAGGAUCUCCGCUGAGGCCCACAGUAAGCUGUCUCUGAGGAGCAAGUUAUUGGAGGAUACAGUGAUCACCAUGUGAAAACUCCUCUAACAUGGUAGAACACCCAGGACCAGAGCCACAUCAGCAGCCAAACUCAGAUCCUAUUUGUUGCCAUGAUAUUUGUAGCAGCUAUAAAAAUGUUGUAAUCACCACUACCUUCCAACACACAGCCCGGAUAACUGACAGUACAAGAACAAGCCCCCCCAGGACUGCACCAUUGGUAGUUACAGCAGUCCAAUCGAUCCCUAUGGUUUAUUUGAGGAUCAUUUCUACGGGGGCCCUCUAGUAAUGGCUACAGCCAAGAGUAUCCUGGCCAUCAAAGUAUUUGCUUUAGUUAUAGUCUGUGUAGUGAAGAGAUCCUGGUAGUUGGUCUGGGGACUUCUCCCUCUACCCACAGGCCUCAGCGCUCAUUAUGUCACUGUGACCUGGAAGCGCACCACAGGAGAACUGACCCAGGAACAGCUCUCUCAGAGCAUCCUACACUUUAGUCGACACCUACAUCACCGAGUAGGACCAGGACCACAGCUAGGUAAACUUCCAUUACGUAUGGUUCAGCGCUAAGAUUAGGGUUUAUUCUGGGUAACAAGUAGCUUACAAUAGUAUUUCACAGUAAAAUUUGAGUUGGUGCCUAAACAAUACAAUAGGUGAUUAUGUAAGGUUCUCAUUUGAUAAAUAUUUCAAUGAAGCCAGAAGAACACAAUGUACUAUAAAGUAGUUUUUAAUAACAUGUAUCAUAAUGAACAGGGCAGAUUAAAAUCAGGAAUUUUUUUUUGACUUUAUUUAGACAUGGUCACAUUGAGACCAUGGUUGUUUUUUUGCCAGGCAAGAAAGUUUUGAAAAGGGGCAAAGGAUAUUUAGGUGUCACGGGUUAACUUUUGAGUACAUGAGCCACCUUCCAAACCUUGAGGAUUGUGUCAAUAGUCAAACACAGCUAAAGUAAAUUACCAGUUUCUUAAUUGAUAAUCAACUGUAAUCAUUAAGACUAAUGCCUAGAUAAAUAAAAGGUUAAAUUAGAUUUGCUGGCAACAAAAUUACUUUAACGUUCUACAAUAGUUUAUUUAUAGUGCUGGUAAUUGAGAUGAAUGGCUUUUCAGGAGGGUAAAUCAGCAGAAAAGGCAUCACAAUUCCAGUAAAAUGGCUGAACAGUUCUAAGUCGACACCUCAAACCAGGAAGAAACUCACCAUAAGACACUCAUCUACUGCAGGUCCAACAAACCUACACAAUAAAAAUACAAAAGUCUUGGUAAACCUUAUUUUGUCAGGGAUUGCAGGUUUAGCUAUUAAAUGAUCAAUGAUAAUGCUGGUGGUUCAGUUAGUCACAGUCUCAACACCCCAAUUUAGUCAGAUGGGUAAACGGCAAAAGUGUGAAGUCAUCACAACUCCAGUAGCAGAACAGACCCAAGGAAAACAGUUUCUUGGCUAUGUUAAGCCCUCAAACUCACCAUAGGGCUGAGAUUUAGAUCUUCAUACUGGACCAUCAAUCUAGAAUCGAAGAACAGUCUAUUAGCAUUUCAUUUGAUUGUAGUUAGGCAAAAUAUGCAAGAGAUUAUACUGAUAGUUCAGUUCGUCACAUUGUCAGCACCCCAAUUUAGUCUGAUGGGUAAACGGCAAAAUGUAGAACUCAUCACAACUACAGUUGCAUGCACUUUCGACAAAAGACGUACACAUCAGGUUUGGCCCUCAGGAGGAAAAACUCACCACAGGGCAAGAUUUACUUCUUCAGUCUACAUGCUAGCCAAUCAAAUCUAGGAAAGAAUACACGUUCAAAUUAACAUCAUUUGAUAGAUGUAAUGUAAAACAUGUCAGAAUACACUGGUAGUUCAGUUAGUCACAUUCUCAGCACCCCAAUAAUAGUCUGAUGGGUAAACGGCAAAAAUGAUAACUCAUCACAACUCCAGUAUCAACAUUAUCCAAAGGGAAAACAGAUGUCAAACAGCCAACUCAAUUGGGCUAGUUGUAUACUGGCAAGUUAAUGGCAGUGGAGAAAAAGGUAUAGGUCAAGGGUCAGCAACAGGAAACACCCCAAAGUGUACAACACAAAUGACUGGGAAUUCAGCUAAAAACACCUUCAAUUUAGGAAAUCUGAGUAUCCCCACAAAUAAAAAUAUAUAUGUGAUCGUGUCUCAAUGUAAUCAAGGCAUUUUCAAAUACAAUGUGCUUAAUUGUCAAUUUGUAGUACACUAAAUUAUAAUUGUGUUCCUGAUUCCCCCCCCCCCUUAGGCACGCGGCAGAGUACAGUUGCAGACCUAACUCACCAAAAGACUCGAUGAUCCUCCUACAGCGUCUUCAGCAUCCUGCCAGCCCAUCAAGUCUGUGGGAGAAAAACUCAUUGUUAUCCUGAUGAUCAUUGGUCUCCAACUGAGAGAUGGUGGUUUGGAAAUUGUAUUAUCUCCUUAGAAUAAUGCUGAUGGUUCAGUUAGUCACAGUCUCAACACCCCAAUUUAGUCAGAUGGGUAAACGGCAAAAGUGUGAGGUCAUCACAGUACCAGCAAAACAACGACUAGCAGAGCACAGCUUAGAGUUAGGUGUGGACGCACCUCGGUACCACAGUAACGCAUCCAGCACCAUCUAUCCCUGAAAGACACAGAACCUGUGAGGGGGAAUGACAAUUAACUCUGCAUCAAGAAUAGUCAAUCACAUCUACGACAGUAGUGGUAUGGUCAGUGAUAAUACUGGUGGUUCAGUUAGUCACAAUCUCAGCAACCUAAUUUAGUCAGAUGGGUAAACGGCAAAAUGAUAACUCAUCACAACUCCAGUACUAUCAGACCAGAGAAGUAUUGCACAUUCUUGGCCCUUAAAAAAAAUCUUGGAUCAAAAUUGGACAACUCACCUUGAGUGAAACAAAUCAGCCUGUAUGAAUGUCUGGAACCAUUAGUCUCCAUCCAACUACAAGAUAAACAAAAACACAUUUACAC
Long non-coding RNA from Salvelinus namaycush (lake trout), 5822 nucleotides. RefSeq lists it as uncharacterized. NCBI's taxonomy places the organism in Eukaryota, Metazoa, Chordata, Actinopteri, Salmoniformes, Salmonidae. The record is from RefSeq and is a predicted model, not a curated record. The transcript is spliced from 3 exons.